RNAcentral lists this ribosomal RNA (438 nucleotides) under uncultured bacterium. RNAcentral's name for it is "bacterial SSU rRNA". It matches the Rfam family "Bacterial small subunit ribosomal RNA", at positions 954 to 1392 of the family's 1533-position model. The record is from RNAcentral.
AUGGGAACGCGAAGAACCUUACCUAGACUUGACAUCUCCUGAAUAGUGUAGAGAUACAUGAAGCCCUUCGGGGCGAGGAAGACAGGUGGUGCAUGGUUGUCGUCAGCUCGUGUCGUGAGAUGUUGGGUUAAGUCCCGCAACGAGCGCAACCCUUAUUACUAGUUGCUACCAUUAAGUUGAGCACUCUAGUGAGACUGCCCGGGUUAACCCGGGAGGAAGGCGGGGAUGGACGUCAAAUCAUCAUGCCCCUUAUGUCUAGGGCAACACACGUGCUACAAUGGUGAGUACAGAUAGAUGCGAUACCGCAAGGUGGAGCCAAACUCUAAAACUCAUCCCAGUUCGGAUUGUAGCUGCAACUCGCCUACAUGAAGUUGGAGUUGCUAGUAAUCGCGAAUCAGAAUGUCGCGGUGAAUACGUUCCCGGGUCUUGUACACACCG